Molecule: ribosomal RNA, 468 nt
Filed under: uncultured bacterium
Lineage: Bacteria
Description: partial 16S ribosomal RNA
Rfam family: Bacterial small subunit ribosomal RNA
Source: RNAcentral
GACGAACGCUGGCGGCGUGCUUAACACAUGCAAGUCGAACGGGAAGGCCCUGCUUUUGUGGGGUGCUCGAGUGGCGAACGGGUGAGUAACACGUGAGUAACCUGCCCUUGACUUUGGGAUAACUUCAGGAAACUGGGGCUAAUACCGGAUAGGAGCUCCUGCUGCAUGGUGGGGGUUGGAAAGUUUCGGCGGUUGGGGAUGGACUCGCGGCUUAUCAGCUUGUUGGUGGGGUAGUGGCUUACCAAGGCUUUGACGGGUAGCCGGCCUGAGAGGGUGACCGGCCACAAUGGGACUGAGAUACGGCCCAGACUCCUACGGGAGGCAGCAGUGGGGAAUAUUGCACAAUGGGCGGAAGCCUGAUGCAGCAACGCCGCGUGCGGGAUGACGGCCUUCGGGUUGUAAACCGCUUUCGCCUGUGACGAAGCGUGAGUGACGGUAAUGGGUAAAGAAGCACCGGCUAACUACGUG